GACAAGGUAGCAGAGUGGUUAAAGCAAUGAACUGCUAAUCCAUUGUGCUCUGCACACGUGGGUUCAAAUCCCAUCCUUGUUG
This is a non-coding RNA of Nycticebus coucang (slow loris), 82 nucleotides long. Lineage: Eukaryota; Metazoa; Chordata; Mammalia; Primates; Lorisidae. The record is from the annotation of a RefSeq genome assembly.